Molecule: small nuclear RNA, 62 nt
Filed under: Colobus angolensis palliatus
Lineage: Eukaryota; Metazoa; Chordata; Mammalia; Primates; Cercopithecidae
Description: U7 small nuclear RNA (ENSCANG00000011300.1)
Rfam family: U7 small nuclear RNA
About the family: Animal histone pre-mRNAs are spliced by a different mechanism than nuclear pre-mRNAs and self-splicing introns. This processing involves the U7 snRNP, which contains only one RNA species: U7. The 5' end of U7 RNA is thought to base-pair to a conserved spacer element downstream of the cleavage site in histone pre-mRNA.
Source: Rfam by way of RNAcentral
AAGUGUUACAGCUCUUUUAGAAUUUGUCUAGCAGGCUUUCCGGUUUUUGGUGGAAAGCUCCC